RNAcentral lists this transfer RNA (71 nucleotides) under Bos taurus (domestic cattle). It matches the Rfam family "tRNA". From Rfam's summary of the family: Transfer RNA (tRNA) molecules are approximately 80 nucleotides in length. Their secondary structure includes four short double-helical elements and three loops (D, anti-codon, and T loops). The record is from Rfam by way of RNAcentral. Lineage: Eukaryota; Metazoa; Chordata; Mammalia; Artiodactyla; Bovidae. RNAcentral also lists the same sequence under 2 other names.
CCCUGGUGGUUCUGGUGGUAAAGAACCUGCCUGCAAUGCAGGAGACCUGGGUUCGAUCCCUGGAUCGGGAA